RNAcentral lists this unclassified non-coding RNA (1578 nucleotides) under Hevea brasiliensis (rubber tree). The record is from RNAcentral. Lineage: Eukaryota; Viridiplantae; Streptophyta; Magnoliopsida; Malpighiales; Euphorbiaceae.
GAAUUUGGUGCACUGGUUUGGUAUGUAAUAAUUACUCGUAUCUCUUGUUGAGUUUGUACUGUAGUUUCCAAGUUCCACAGAAAAGAAGUGAACAUGUUUCAUUUUACAUUUCAUGUCUAUCAAACUUAUAAUUAUAACAAUUUGUUCCAUUUUCCAUCACACUAAGUUUAGCUGACAAAUAUAUGCCUCUACCAAAACCAAGAAAUGGGUAAAUUAUCCAAGAGAAAUUUGAAUACUGUGUUGUUAAAAUUUUUAUUUGUCUUCCCCACAAUGCUUUUGGAUUGUAAACUUGUAUGAAGUGUUGAGAAGGUAGUUACCACUUCAAAAUGUUAUGCAAAGCAAAGUAAUCAACCAAUUGGCUUACUGUCAUUUGCUUCUACACUUUUCUUGGGUAAAUUUACAAGGGUCUUUGUAAAUCAUGAUUGCAAUUUGUCAUCUUUUUGUGCAUAAAAGUUUUGAAGUCAAUAAUUUCUUCCUAAUGGCAAAUCAUCUGACAAAAUAAGUGCAUUGUGGUAUGUUUCUAUUCACAGAUCAGAUUAGUUAACUUCCCUGCAUACUAAAUCUGAAGGCUUAUGGCAUGCAUCAGCUGUAUAUCAUUUUCUACAUGAUAUAUUCGUAACUUUCCAUUGAGUAAUUAUGUUAAAGAUAAACUUUUUCAUUUCUCAUACGGAUUUAACUAGUCCAAUUCUAAUAUUUUAGACUCGUGUGUAACGGUUCGGAAGUUCCCCACUCCUAUUCUUGGCAGUUGGCAAGGCCGUCACAAGCUGUCUCUUGCCCUAUGGAGCUAACUAGUGUGAAUCUGUACAGAUUGAUCAAGCAUUGCCUCCUGGUGACUAUUGGAUAUUUGUCUGCACCAUUGGAGUUUGGCAUGAAGGUUUAGGAGACAGAAUAGGGAUUCAGAACAAGGGCAAACCAUGUUGGAAUAUCUUGCAAUGCUUUGUACUAGAAUGAAGUAUAAGAGAGACGACCAUUUGGAGGAAGCCCACUAAUCAUCAGAACUCUGAAAUGUAUCAAAAAACCAAGGACUUGGCUUUGAUUUGUAUCAAAAUGAUCCCUGAUGCUGUUUGGGAAAGAUGGAACUGUGUUACCUCCUCUUCCAAAUGUGAAAAAGACAUCCUGCCUCUAUCUGGAGUUGCUCACAAAAAAUGACCAAAAAGUUUGAAUGCUAGGAUUAGAAGUGGAGGAAUUUCAGUUGGGGCCUUUGAUAAGAUUAUCAAUUCUGGAAAGGAAGAGUUGGAUAUUAUGGAUCAUACUCAACUCUCUAAAGGAAGAUAGAAUUAUAAAUUGAAAUGAAAGCUGCAUGGAUGGCACAUGGUAAGGGUAAUGGAUGUUGUACCAUGCACCAUGCAGGAAGGUUAAUCUUGUUGAACUUGUGUCACCUUGCAGGAAAUUGUUCGGACUGGUAUCAAUAAGAUUAGUUCUUGCCUUCUAGUUUUUAUGAUCCGAUCCUUUGUGCAAUUGCCAUGCCUUCCAUGGAUUGUAUUUAUUUAUAUAGAACCAAAUAUCAGUGUGGAAAUUUGUUGAUCUACAAAAUUUUCUGAAUUUCAUGCCUUUCUGCAUUUUAUGCUUUCGGAUUGU